AAAACAUGCAUGAAAAAUCAACGAUUCUUCUUAGACCCCUCAGGCAAGUGAAGUCAUGGAGCAAACCACGACCCCAUAAUUGGAGAGACAAAGUAAUACUAAAAAUCACAACUUACAGCCUCAGAAACCCACAGGAUACGCAUUGAGGACUCUUCAUCUAACAGCCCUGACCCAUGCAGAACCUGCACCCAAGAAUCAAGCUCAGGCUUUUUCACCACUCAGGUUCCAAGAAAAGCAGCCUUAUGGACUCUCUCAAGUGUGGGCUGCUGAGGAGCUUUCUCAAAAGCCUUUGGUGACAAGCUGAAGAACCCACUCCAAGUUGUCCUGCUGGCUUCCGUGCUGACAUCAUGAAUGUUCCUGAACCAGCUGGAGAUCAUUUUCAAAUUUUGCUGCAAUCAAGGGUUGGUUAAGACACAGCCACUGGCAGCUGACAUGAGAUCUGUACAUCUGUGACUAGAAGACCCAGAAGGCCACCCACUCUUCCUCCUAGUGAGCCACUGGCACAGCAGAUAUGGCUUACAGCCCAAUCAUGUUCUUUAUUACACAAAAAUUCAGUGCAUCAAAAAUAGAAAGAAGCCCCACCACAUUUGAAAUUAAAUUUUAUUUAAACAGAAGAGCAGACCAAAGAGCUCAUUGACUCAAGGAGCAUCAUGGCAACUGGGCUGUACCUGAAGGGGAAGAAUCCAGGGUGUGAUCCACAACCAAGGCCUGAAGAAGUGGGGCCUGUACUUGACCUACCCAGGGUUCUCCAGGAGUAUGUGUCCAACCACCAAGGUGGGCAGCAGAGUUUGGAGGCUGAAUCCUUUGGUACCUGGAGCGGGAUGGCAAUGGAACCACACAGAGAAUGGCCCAGAGCACUGGGAAG
Long non-coding RNA from Symphalangus syndactylus (siamang), 865 nucleotides. RefSeq lists it as uncharacterized. The record is from RefSeq and is a predicted model, not a curated record. Lineage: Eukaryota; Metazoa; Chordata; Mammalia; Primates; Hylobatidae.